This 222-nucleotide unclassified non-coding RNA is filed under the name Paralepistopsis acromelalga. Its description in RNAcentral is "Clitocybe acromelalga ITS2". Lineage: Eukaryota; Fungi; Basidiomycota; Agaricomycetes; Agaricales; Clitocybaceae. The record is from RNAcentral.
AACUUAUCAACCUUUCUGGCUUUUGUUAAGUCGGAAAGGCUUGGAUGUGGGGGCUUGUGGGCUAUUUCUUUUUGAAAGGGCUGACUCCUCUUAAAUUUAUUAGUAGGACCUUUAUGGAACCAGAUUUCUUGGUGUGAUAAUUAUCUACGCCAUGAAUAGGUCUAUAUAAUGAGGUUCUGCUUCUAACUGUCCAUUGACUUGGACUAGAUUCUAUAUUGACAU